RNAcentral lists this long non-coding RNA (1528 nucleotides) under Felis catus (domestic cat). RNAcentral's name for it is "lncRNA (ENSFCAG00000053110.1)". The record is from RNAcentral. Lineage: Eukaryota; Metazoa; Chordata; Mammalia; Carnivora; Felidae.
AUGAGGAUCUCUCGCGAGAAGAAGACCAUCGCUUCUACGAUAACCACUUUCGACAGUCAUCGCCACCAGCCCCCUGCACUUACCCCUAAGAGAGGCGACUCUCCAGAAGAACAGAUCUGCUUUCGCCGGGAUGUCGUCGACUCGCGGUGUCCGUUUCAGGCGCUCACCGUGGCGGCUCGACAACCACGUGGGAUGCGAGGCUCGCCAACGAUUUCAGCCGUGUUUACGCGGCAUCAGGCACAUCCACGUUGUUGUGCGGCCGUCGCCACCGCCUCCAGAACGUGGUAUCUCCCCGGAGCGAAGCUUGGUACCCGUGAAGCACAAAGUCCCCGUCUCGUCUCCUCCGUCAGCCCCGGCGCCCAGCCUUCUUUCUGUGUCUACAGACCGGCCCCUCCGAGCUACGGCGCGGAAGGCAAAUCGUGCGGCGUUCGUCUUUUCGGGUGUCCGGUGGGUUCACUGAGCAUAACGUCCUCCAGGCUCAUCCGUGUCGUGGUGGGUCAGCAUCUCCCCCCUUGGAAGGCUCAGUAAUAUUCUUUGUACGUAUGGACCGUAGCUUGUUGAUCCAGAGCCCCGUGGAGGGACGUUGGGCUGUUCCCAGGGCCCAUGCGUCAGAAGCCAAGAGAGCCACAGGAGCGUGGCACCCCAGCCCUCUGCUCGUCCCCUCCCGUCCCCCCCGCCCCCCGGCCCGGUUCCUCGGCUUCAGAAAAGAGUGAGAACCAGCCAGGGUUCUGUUGGAAUCCAAGCGGUAAGGAAAGGCGAGGAGGAUUAAUAAUUUUCUUAAAAAAGUUUUCAGCCAAGGAAACUCAUUUUUAACAGAGGGGGAGGAAGAAAAAGCCCAAUUAGGUCUGGUGAGCAGCAGCUCACAAAGGAAGUGCAGUUGUCAGAAAGAGGGCUGGGACUUUUCAAAGAGCUUACUGGAACUAAACAGAAAUGCUGAACUUUGUUUUGUCUUUCCCCAGAACAUGCUCUUUUUGGAAUCAAAAGGCUCCAAGGGUGGUGAAAGACUUCAGAGCAUGAAAUUGCAUUACUGGAAAUGGUUUGGGGCUUUUGUUCUGGACGCCGGGGCCUCGUGAGGGCCGAGUUUAGCAACGAGCCCAGCCCGGCUCCACGGGGGCACGGAGAGGAAGGGGGCAGUUGGACAGGCCGUCCGGUUUCCCAGGUCCUCUAACGCAAACCGAGGGGUCUCAGGGGCCGUGGUCGGAUGCUACGCUGGGGGAGGUGAGGGCUACUGCCUUGUCAAAUGCAUCAAAUGGAUAUUAAAAAAAAAAAAAUACACUCGACCCACAGGAAGAGUGAAGCACGACCCACGGUGAGAUCUUUAAAUGCCGCCGAACGACCGCAGCUGCUUCCUAAACGGUCUCCUUGCCCGGUUUCCGAGGAGGCAAAUCUGAGCCCGUGACUCCCUCCCUUCGGAGCCUUCUAUGGCUCACCAUUGCCUCUGAAAUUGAGUCAGGCUCUUUAGCCACCGCCCUGCGUGGCCGGGGCUCGGUUCCCGUCUCCUUUGACCUCGUCUUUUCCGUCCUGCCCU